UCUCGGCUUAUCACCGGCAGUCCCCUUAGAGUGCCCAACUGAAUGCUGGCAACUAAGGGCGAGGGUUGCGCUCGUUGCGGGACUUAACCCAACAUCUCACGACACGAGCUGACGACAGCCAUGCAGCACCUGUGUGCAGGUUCCCUUUCGGGCACCCCCCUAUCUCUAGGGGGUUCCUGCCAUGUCAAGGGUAGGUAAGGUUUUUCGCGUUGCAUCGAAUUAAUCCACAUCAUCCACCGCUUGUGCGGGUCCCCGUCAAUUUCUUUGAGUUUUAACCUUGCGGCCGUACUCCCCAGGCGGAUGACUUAACGCGUUAGCUGCGCCACCGAAGCUCCAUGAGCCCCGACAGCUAGUCAUCAUCGUUUACGGCGUGGACUAC
RNAcentral lists this unclassified non-coding RNA (379 nucleotides) under uncultured Pseudomonadota bacterium. RNAcentral describes it as "uncultured proteobacterium contains 16S-23S intergenic spacer region". The record is from RNAcentral. Lineage: Bacteria; Pseudomonadati; Pseudomonadota.